This 28-nucleotide small RNA is filed under the name Bombyx mori (domestic silkworm). Its description in RNAcentral is "ovarian small RNA-35164". The record is from RNAcentral. Lineage: Eukaryota; Metazoa; Arthropoda; Insecta; Lepidoptera; Bombycidae.
UGGUCUCCCUGCCAACGUGAGCGGCAGC